UGAUUAAGUUAUUAAGGGCGCACGGUGGAUGCCUUGGCACUAGAAGCUGAUGAAGGACGUUACUAACGACGAUAUGCUUUGGGUAGCUGUAAGUAAGCGUUGAUCCAGAGAUUUCCGAAUGGGGGAACCCAGCACAAGUUAUGUUGUGUUAUCGACAUGUGAAUACAUAGCAUGUCCGAAGGCAGACGCGGAGAACUGAAACAUCUUAGUACCCGCAGGAAGAGAAAGAAAACUCGAUUCCCUGAGUAGCGGCGAGCGAAACGGGAAGAGCCCAAACCAAUGAGCUUGCUCAUUGGGGUUGUAGGACACUCUACACGGAGUUACAAAAGAAUUGAUUAGACGAAUCGUACUGGAAAGUCGAACCAGAGAAGGUAAGAGUCCUGUAGUCGAAAGUCAAUUCUCUCCUGAGUGGAUCCUGAGUACGACGGAGCACGUGAAAUUCCGUCGGAAUCCGGGAGGACCAUCUCCCAAGGCUAAAUACUCUCUAGUGACCGAUAGUGAACCAGUACCGUGAGGGAAAGGUGAAAAGUACCCCGGAAGGGGAGUGAAAGAGAACUUGAAACCGUGUGCUUACAAGUAGUCAGAGCCCGUUAAUGGGUGAUGGCGUGCCUUUUGUAGAAUGAACCGGCGAGUUACGAUCUGAUGCAAGGUUAAGCAGCGAAUGCGGAGCCGCAGCGAAAGCGAGUCUGAACAGGGCGUUGAGUAUUUGGUCGUAGACCCGAAACCAGGUGAUCUACCCUUGGUCAGGUUGAAGUUCAGGUAACACUGAAUGGAGGACCGAACCGACUUACGUUGAAAAGUGAGCGGAUGAACUGAGGGUAGCGGAGAAAUUCCAAUCGAACCUGGAGAUAGCUGGUUCUCUCCGAAAUAGCUUUAGGGCUAGCCUCAAGUGAUGAUUGUUGGAGGUAGAGCACUGUUUGGACGAGGGGCCCCUCUCGGGUUACCGAAUUCAGACAAACUCCGAAUGCCAAUCAAUUUAACUUGGGAGUCAGAACGUGGGUGAUAAGGUCCAUGUUCGAAAGGGAAACAGCCCAGACCACCAGCUAAGGUCCCAAAAUAUAUGUUAAGUGGCAAAGGAUGUGGUAUUGCCCAGACAACUAGGAUGUUGGCUUAGAAGCAGCCAUCAUUUAAAGAGUGCGUAAUAGCUCACUAGUCGAGUGACACUGCGCCGAAAAUGUACCGGGGCUAAACAUAUUACCGAAGCUGUGGACUGUCCUUCGGACAGUGGUAGGAGAGCGUUCUAAGGGCGUCGAAGCAUGAUCGCAAGGACAUGUGGAGCGCUUAGAAGUGAGAAUGCCGGUGUGAGUAGCGAAAGAUGGG
RNAcentral lists this ribosomal RNA (1320 nucleotides) under Staphylococcus piscifermentans. Its description in RNAcentral is "partial 23S ribosomal RNA". It matches the Rfam family "Bacterial large subunit ribosomal RNA", at positions 1 to 1321 of the family's 2925-position model. Lineage: Bacteria; Bacillati; Bacillota; Bacilli; Caryophanales; Staphylococcaceae. The record is from RNAcentral.